Molecule: non-coding RNA, 98 nt
Rfam family: Bacterial small signal recognition particle RNA
About the family: The signal recognition particle (SRP) is a universally conserved ribonucleoprotein involved in the co-translational targeting of proteins to membranes. Archaeal SRP consists of a 7S RNA and homologues of the eukaryotic SRP19 and SRP54 proteins.
Source: Rfam
CGUAAGGCCUUGAGGCAAAAGUCAGCUUACGAAUCGUGUCAGGUCCGGAAGGAAGCAGCACUAAGUAUCCUUGAUUUUGUGCCUCUUGUUUUUUAUAA